Molecule: non-coding RNA, 26 nt
Filed under: Homo sapiens (human)
Lineage: Eukaryota; Metazoa; Chordata; Mammalia; Primates; Hominidae
Source: RNAcentral
GAACCUGCUGUGUACAAAAUGGUGUA